CAGUAGCCACGGGAAUACGCAGGUGGCAAGCGUUGUCCGGAAUUAUUGGGCGUAAAGGGCUCGCAGGCGGUUUCUUAAGUCUGAUGUGAAAGCCCCCGGCUCAACCGGGGAGGGUCAUUGGAAACCGGGAAACUUGAGUGCAGAAGAGGAGAGUGGAAUUCCACGUGUAGCGGUGAAAUGCGUAGAGAUGUGGAGGAACACCAGUGGCGAAGGCGACUCUCUGGUCUGUAACUGACGCUGAGGAGCGAAAGCGUGGGGAGCGAACAGGAUUAGAUACCCCUGUAGUCCCUGUCUCUUAUAU
RNAcentral lists this ribosomal RNA (301 nucleotides) under uncultured bacterium. Its description in RNAcentral is "partial 16S ribosomal RNA". It matches the Rfam family "Bacterial small subunit ribosomal RNA", at positions 509 to 809 of the family's 1533-position model. The record is from RNAcentral.